AUGAAAAUCCGUUGGCUUUAAAGACCGUGAGGGUUCAAUUCCCUCUACCCCCA
This 53-nucleotide transfer RNA is filed under the name Mannia pilosa. RNAcentral describes it as "tRNA-Leu". The record is from RNAcentral. Lineage: Eukaryota; Viridiplantae; Streptophyta; Marchantiopsida; Marchantiales; Aytoniaceae.